UGAGGAAUAUUGGUCAAUGGACGAGAGUCUGAACCAGCCAAGUAGCGUGCAGGAUGACGGCCCUCCGGGUUGUAAACUGCUUUUAGUUGGGAAUAAAGUUCGGGACGUGUCCCGAUUUGUAUGUACCAUCAGAAAAAGGACCGGCUAAUUCCGUGCCAGCAGCCGCGGUAAUACGGAAGGUCCGGGCGUUAUCCGGAUUUAUUGGGUUUAAAGGGAGCGUAGGCCGUCUGUUAAGCGUGUUGUGAAAUGUCGGGGCUCAACCUGGGCAUUGCAGCGCGAACUGGCAGACUUGAGUGCGCGGGAAGUAGGCGGAAUUCGUCGUGUAGCGGUGAAAUGCUUAGAUAUGACGAAGAACUCCGAUUGCGAAGGCAGCCUGCUGUAGCGUAACUGACGCUGAAGCUCGAAAGCGUGGGUAUCGAACAGGAUUAGAUACCCUGGUAGU
Molecule: ribosomal RNA, 442 nt
Filed under: uncultured Prevotella sp.
Lineage: Bacteria; Pseudomonadati; Bacteroidota; Bacteroidia; Bacteroidales; Prevotellaceae
Description: bacterial SSU rRNA
Rfam family: Bacterial small subunit ribosomal RNA
Source: RNAcentral